UACAGAGGUCUCAACCGUUGUUCGGAUUCAUUGGGCGUAAAGGGUGCGUAGGCGGUCGCGCAAGUCGGAUGUGAAAUCUCAGGGCUCAACCCUGAAACUGCAUUCGAUACUGCGCGGCUAGAGUGCUGGAGGGGAGACUGGAAUUUACGGUGUAGCAGUGAAAUGCGUAGAUAUCGUAAGGAAGACCAGUGGCGAAGGCGAGUCUCUGGACAGCAACUGACGCUGAGGCACGAAGGCCAGGGGAGCGAACGGG
Molecule: ribosomal RNA, 253 nt
Filed under: uncultured bacterium
Lineage: Bacteria
Description: partial 16S ribosomal RNA
Rfam family: Bacterial small subunit ribosomal RNA
Source: RNAcentral